AAGUCGUAACAAGGUUUCCGUAGGUGAACCUGCGGAAGGAUCAUUACAGAGAAGGAGGCUUCGUGCCUCCGGGGGCUCACCGCCCUUCCUCUCUCACCCUUUGUUUACCACACCUCCACAUGUUGCUUUGGCGGGCCUUGGGGUCGUGCCCAUGCCCGAUCCUCUGGGUCGGGUGAGCGCCCGCCGAAAGCCCCCGAUUUUCAACUCUGUUUUUACGAACCGUGCAGUCUGAGUGAAAAACAAAAAAUCAAGCAAAACUUUCAACAACGGAUCUCUUGGUUCUGGCAUCGAUGAAGAACGCAGCGAAAUGCGAUAAGUAAUGUGAAUUGCAGAAUUCAGUGAAUCAUCGAAUCUUUGAACGCACAUUGCGCCCCUCGGAAUUCCGGGGGGCAUGCCUGUCCGAGCGUCAUUGCACCUCUCAAGCGUAGCUUGGUCUUGGGCGGCCGUCCGCGAGGGCGCCCCCGAAAAUGAGUGGCGGUCCGGCACGACUUCGAGCGCAGUAAAAAUUAUUUUCGCUCCGUAAGCCUUCGUGACCGCGACCCGCCAAGGGAAGACCUUAUUCCAUAAGUUUGACCUCGGAUCAGGUAGGGAUACCCGCUGAACUUAA
RNAcentral lists this ribosomal RNA (607 nucleotides) under uncultured fungus. Its description in RNAcentral is "eukaryotic LSU rRNA". The stretch from base 256 to 409 matches the Rfam family "5.8S ribosomal RNA". Lineage: Eukaryota; Fungi. The record is from RNAcentral.